Physella acuta is the source of this 333-nucleotide long non-coding RNA. RefSeq lists it as uncharacterized. NCBI's taxonomy places the organism in Eukaryota, Metazoa, Mollusca, Gastropoda, Physidae. The record is from RefSeq and is a predicted model, not a curated record.
CAUACAAUCUCAACUGAGGUUGUAUUAAGACUUUUAACGGUUGAAUGCCGGCAAACAAAGUAAUAUGAUUCUUUUCAAAUGUCACGGUCAUAUAGCGUCGGCAAAUGCAACUUGGAGCAAUCUACAGCGUACUUCAUGGGAAGAAGUGAUUACCACUAUAUGGUUACAACAAUCUACUCUAAAAAUAAGUUCUACCCAGUUUUACCCACCAGAACGCCUGUUAUUCCAUGGAUUAUUUUACUCGGGGCGAUCACCCUUUCGAACCUGGAGGUCUAUUGUGCAGUAGAUUAAGUAGAGUUCAUCUUUUCCAAUGACCACGGCGUAUGAAGAGGA